This 253-nucleotide ribosomal RNA is filed under the name uncultured bacterium. RNAcentral's name for it is "partial 16S ribosomal RNA". It matches the Rfam family "Bacterial small subunit ribosomal RNA", at positions 524 to 776 of the family's 1533-position model. The record is from RNAcentral.
UACGUAGGGUGCAAGCGUUGUCCGGAAUUACUGGGCGUAAAGGGCGCGUAGGCGGGAUGGCAAGUCGGUCGUGAAAUCCUUCGGCUCAACCGAAGAACGUCGGCCGAUACUGCCGUUCUUGAGGGAUGCAGAGGAGAUUGGAAUUCCCGGUGUAGCGGUGAAAUGUGUAGAGAUCGGGAGGAACACCGGUGGCGAAGGCGGGUCUCUGGGCAUCUCCUGACGCUGAGGCGCGAAAGCGUGGGGAGCAAACGGG